This 1672-nucleotide long non-coding RNA is filed under the name Nicotiana tabacum (common tobacco). RNAcentral describes it as "long non-coding RNA (NTAB_LNC013895)". Lineage: Eukaryota; Viridiplantae; Streptophyta; Magnoliopsida; Solanales; Solanaceae. The record is from RNAcentral.
CAUAUUUUGACCUUCUCCAAUCCUGUAAGGACUCCCUACUUUCCUUGCUUCCCUCAGCAGUAACUUCUGUGUAUUUUUGGCUCCAGAUACAAAUCUUGUGAAACCGUUGUGUAGGUAUAACCUGACAGCUUACCCAUAUUUUGACCUUCUCCAGUCCUGUAAGGACUCCCUACUUUCCUUGCUUCCCUCAGCAGCAUCUUCAUUAGCUUGACUGACUCCUUUAAUGUUACCAGGGCACAAGCUAUCUAGUAACCAAAAUGAUGUUUGCAGCAAUUACAGCCAAAAGCAAAAGAUGCGAUAAACUCUAUCAGCACAGCUUUGCCGAAGUCGCUGUCCAAAAUAUAGUCUCAUCGUACUGCAUUCAUUACAAACAAGAGAUGAGUCGCAUAUAGAUACCAUGGAUUAAGGAAUAAUUACUUUGGUACAGUAUUGAGGUUAUUUAAGAUAUACGCGGAAAAAAAUAAUAAUUAAAGCAAACUAAGCAAUUCACCGUGUGCUUAUAUACCUGACUUAGAAUGUUGAGCUGAGGGCUUAAAUUACCCUAGUUGCAACUAUUCUCUCUAGCUUGUUUUUGCUUUAGCAGGAUCACGACCGAACUGAAUGACGAUAGGUUUGCCUUUAAAGACAUACCCAUUCACCAGAUUCUGCAGUAAUUCACUUCUUUGUAUUAAAUUUUUACAAGCAUCAUCAGGUGUAGUAUACACCUUCACAUAAUUCUAGAUAGUUGGAUGUGAUAUAAAUUAAAGUAUAUGACUGAAAUGAUUUCCUUCAAUCCAUAUGACACAUUUUUAGGCAACUUCAGGAAACUAACCAUAUACAUGAAUAAUCUCGCGUUAAACAACCAUUGGAAAUUUGACACAAGUUCACGAUUAAAUUCAGAAGGUUUCUCACCUUCUGAAUAAAUCUAUGAUUUUGCUAGAAUUAGGUUGAGAACUGUUGAGGUAGGCACUUGCACCAUUAAGGUACACCAAGAACAAAACCUUAAUACCAACUGCUGGAGUUGAACAGCAAAUUUUAUCAGCUUAGUGAAAUUUGAAUAGGCUAACAGAAACGCCACAAACGACAAUUUGAAAAUGUCAGCAUAAGUCAUAUUAUUCAAAUUUCAGAUUUGCAUCUAAUGAGACUUCCAAAAUGCUAACCGUGAAAGACAAAAGAUUGUCUCGUAUGUGGUGCUUUCGGAUUAAGAGAUUUAUUUUUGAAAGAGGUUCAUAAAAGCCUAUAAGUACUUUCGCGGUGUUUACUUCACAAUCAUGCUGCCCAGGAUGAAAACUAAAUACCAAAUUACCUUCUUUUCCUCUUGUUUCCCCCAGAUUCUGCUAUGUUUUGAUAUAUGAUUCCAUGAUCCAGCAGUUUAAAAAGUAAUCCACUGCCACUUUAAAAGAGGAAUGUGGAUAUCAUAAAUUUUAAUGUUUGAUAUUGAUUUCUUCGUUUUUCAACCUUCUAAACCAUCCUUUUACUUUAUCCCCUUCUGGCCUCCCCCCUUCUUUCCCCAAUGAAAAGGAAAUGACUGACCUGCAGGCAUCAUAGAGAGGAAGAAAUAGCUUUGAUUCGGAGUAGUAUUUUAAUAAUGGAAGCAUGAUUCUUCUUUAUUUUAUAAUUAAGAUUAGAUUGAGAAUUACUAUUGUGCCAUUGUAGAUAAAUACCUCCAACUUUAUCAGGUUCUUUCAAAUUU